UGGAACUGAGACACGGUCCAAACUCCUACGGGAGGCAGCAGUGAGGAAUAUUGGUCAAUGGACGAGAGUCUGAACCAGCCAAGUAGCGUGAAGGAUGACUGCCCUAUGGGUUGUAAACUUCUUUUAUAUGGGAAUAAAACGUUCCACGUGUGGGAUUUUGUAUGUACCAUAUGAAUAAGGAUCGGCUAACUCCGUGCCAGCAGCCGCGGUAAUACGGAGGAUCCGAGCGUUAUCCGGAUUUAUUGGGUUUAAAGGGAGCGUAGGUGGAUUGUUAAGUCAGUUGUGAAAGUUUGCGGCUCAACCGUAAAAUUGCAGUUGAAACUGGCAGUCUUGAGUACAGUAGAGGUGGGCGGAAUUCGUGGUGUAGCGGUGAAAUGCUUAGAUAUCACGAAGAACUCCGAUUGCGAAGGCAGUUCACUGGACUGCAACUGACACUGAGGCUCGAAAGUGUGGGUAUCAAACAGGAUUAGAUACCCUGGUAGUCCACACAGUAAACGAUGAAUACUCGCUGUUUGCGAUAUACAGCAAGCGGC
RNAcentral lists this ribosomal RNA (533 nucleotides) under uncultured bacterium. RNAcentral describes it as "bacterial SSU rRNA". It matches the Rfam family "Bacterial small subunit ribosomal RNA", at positions 314 to 847 of the family's 1533-position model. The record is from RNAcentral.